AUCUUAAAUAGAAAGAGGGUAUGCAUAUGGAUUUCACUGGUGUUAUUACAAGCAUUAUUGAUUUAAUCAAGACUUGCAUUCAGGCUUUCGGUUAAUUUUUUCAACUAAAAAACAGAGGAAAUAUUCAACGACUUGAUUGUUUC
This is a small RNA of Staphylococcus epidermidis RP62A, 143 nucleotides long. It matches the Rfam family "psm_mec locus RNA". From Rfam's summary of the family: psm_mec locus strain dependent gene (immune evasion factor protein A) regulatory RNA. Lineage: Bacteria; Bacillati; Bacillota; Bacilli; Caryophanales; Staphylococcaceae. The record is from Rfam.